AACGAACGCUGGCGGCAUGCCUUACACAUGCAAGUCGAACGGUAACAGGUCUUCGGAUGCUGACGAGUGGCGAACGGGUGAGUAAUGCAUCGGAACGUGCCCAGUAGUGGGGGAUAGCCCGGCGAAAGCCGGAUUAAUACCGCAUACGACCUGAGGGUGAAAGGGGGGGAUCGCAAGACCUCUCGCUAUUGGAGCGGCCGAUGUCAGAUUAGCUAGUUGGUGGGGUAAAGGCCUACCAAGGCAACGAUCUGUAGUUGGUCUGAGAGGACGACCAGCCACACUGGGACUGAGACACGGCCCAGACUCCUACGGGAGGCAGCAGUGGGGAAUUUUGGACAAUGGGCGCAAGCCUGAUCCAGCAAUGCCGCGUGCAGGAAGAAGGCCUUCGGGUUGUAAACUGCUUUUGUCAGGGAAGAAAUCUUCUGGGUUAAUACCUCGGGAGGAUGACGGUACCUGAAGAAUAAGCACCGGCUAACUACGUGCCAGCCGCCGCAGUAA
RNAcentral lists this ribosomal RNA (498 nucleotides) under uncultured bacterium. Its description in RNAcentral is "partial 16S ribosomal RNA". It matches the Rfam family "Bacterial small subunit ribosomal RNA", at positions 29 to 523 of the family's 1533-position model. The record is from RNAcentral.